This is an RNA transcript of Alosa sapidissima (American shad), 1285 nucleotides long. It is a transcript of the gene named serum amyloid P-component-like, with no coding region annotated. The record is from RefSeq and is a predicted model, not a curated record. NCBI's taxonomy places the organism in Eukaryota, Metazoa, Chordata, Actinopteri, Clupeiformes, Clupeidae. The transcript is spliced from 3 exons.
UCCACAACACUAAGGACAUAUUGUGUAAACUACCAUGGAAAGUACAAUUCUAAAGAACGUCCUGAUACUUCUGUUUAUAUGUUUCAUGCAGUUGUCUGCUGAAAGGAAAGAUCUCUCUGCCAAAAUGUUCACCUUUCCAGUGGAGUCUGAUACAGCUCAUGUGAUCUUGGUUCCCAACCAGAGCAAGAGUCUGACUGCAGUGACCUUGUGUCUACGUUUCUUCUCAGACUUGACAAGAGCUCAGUCUCUCCUCUCUUUUGCCACCCUUGAGAGUCCAAAUAGCUUCCUCCUUUUCAAACAAGCGAACCAUGUGUAUGAAAUAAAUGAGUAUGACAAUGUUCUGUUAUUUAGGGGAUUGGAGGACAUUCCCAAUAAAUGGAAUUCUGUUUGUGCUACUUGGAAUUCUCAAACUGGUAUUGCCCAACUAUGGGUAAAUGGGAAACCAAGCACAAGAAAAGGGGUACGACGAGGAAAUAACAUCUCUGGAACACCCAGUAUUAUCUUGGGUCAAGAGCAGGACAGUUACGGGGGGAAGUUUGACAAAGCACAGUCUUUCGUGGGAAUGCUUACAGAUGUGCACAUGUGGGAUACAGUUCUUCCUUACCCUGAGAUUGCUUUAUACAUGAAUGGCAUUCCACAGAAGACUAGUGGCAACGUGAUCAACUGGAGCUCACUCGACUUCACCAUUAAGGAGUAUGUGCUUGUAGAGGACAUUGUGAGUGGUUUAAAUGAUUGAAACCGUGACAAAACUGCUUCACUUUGUCAAGAAAGACAAAUUUCAUCCUGUUUCCCUUUCAUUUGUCAUUACAAAUCUAAAUCAGUUAAUUAGUAGUCAUUUAAAAAGAUUUACAAAAUGGCUUUGGAGUGUUUCUUCUGUAAAGCAAUGGAAAAUAAAAAGAGCAAAACUAGACUAGUAACUUAAUUAUCAUUCAUACAGGAGGUAAACAUUUUCAUUUUUGCAUGACAUCAAAAAAAGUUCAAUGAAAAGACUUUCUCAGCAGGGACCCAGACAGAGGUGAGCACCUAUAACCUUAAAUGGAGAAUCAAGGCUGAACCCAGGCCAAGGGCCAUGUCUGGGAACUACAAAAAAGAGUAAAGCGGCUUUCACAGAGGAAGAGUCAUUGCUUUAAACCUGGUGGUAAUAUUUUUUCAGUUGUUCAUCCGCUCCGGGACCGUAAUCAUUAAUACAAACAGAGGAUGGAUAAAAUCCAUUAUGUCAUCAGUGGAUAUCUCUCUGGAAAACUUUUCACCUUCCCUGAGGUGUCUGAUGCAGCUUACGUGAACU